RNAcentral lists this ribosomal RNA (253 nucleotides) under uncultured bacterium. Its description in RNAcentral is "partial 16S ribosomal RNA". It matches the Rfam family "Bacterial small subunit ribosomal RNA", at positions 524 to 776 of the family's 1533-position model. The record is from RNAcentral.
UACGUAGGGUGCAAGCGUUGUCCGGAAUUAUUGGGCGUAAAGAGCUCGUAGGCGGUUUGUCGCGUCGGCUGUGAAAACCUGGGGCUCAACCCCGGGCCUGCAGCCGAUACGGGCAAGCUAGAGUUCGGUAGGGGAGACUGGAAUUCCUGGUGUAGCGGUGGAAUGCGCAGAUAUCAGGAGGAACACCGAUGGCGAAGGCAGGUCACUGGGCCGCAACUGACGCUGAGGAGCGAAAGCAUGGGGAGCGAACAGG